Molecule: long non-coding RNA, 1306 nt
Organism: Cynocephalus volans (Philippine flying lemur)
Lineage: Eukaryota; Metazoa; Chordata; Mammalia; Dermoptera; Cynocephalidae
Exons: 3
Source: RefSeq, a predicted model, not a curated record
CUCAAGGAGAGGGGACUGCGACUCCCCGUCUGGCAGGGAGGGGUACCAGGGAAUUCCUGUACCUCUUUCUUUUGACAGUCCCGCAGCUCUCCCCGAGCAGGGGCUGGGGCGGAAGCCGGGGCUGUCCCCCUGCGCGUGGGACACAGGCGACUGCAGCCCGCUCCCGCGCUCAGACUUCCGUCAGAGAGCGCGUGCCGUCCGGGGCCGGGACGCUGUGUCCCGGCAGCCCUUAUACGCCAUCAGCUGGAGUGAAGACAGCGAAAGCGCCAGGCUGCCUGCCAGUGGCCUGCAUUGUCACUUCUGCUCCUUUAGAACAGGUCCAGACCUCUCGCGUUUUAUUCUUUCUCUCUCUGUCAGGACCGAGACCAGUGUGGAGGGGCCGCAUCUGAGGACAGCACCCGCUCGUGCGCAGGCCGGGGGAGGCUUUCUGGAACGAGGCGGGAGGCCUUUCUGAGUUGGGGUCUCUUCUGCUGCCACCUGCCUUCCCACGAAAGCGGGAUGGAGGCUGUGUCCCGGCCUCCGGGACCUCACUGCGUGGGAAGAAAGGCCAAGUUGCCGGGGACCCUCCCGCUGCCAGAUGAGGAAAACUGAGGUUCAGGAAGGACUCAGGCUUUGCAUCCCUGACGAGUUAUGAGCUCUGUGAGGGAGAAACCGUGUCUCCUACUUCUUCUGCUCCCACUACACACCCCACAAAGUACUGCGCACAGAGCAGAGGCUGGGAGUGAAACAAAAGCCAGCAGCACAGGAGGUCAGAGCCGAGCGUGGGGCCUGGCCUCCCGUGCAGAGCAGUCUAUCGCUCACUUACAAGCAGUGCACCGCCGUGCGGCCUUCGCCACCGUUGUAUUCCUCCUGCCACUUGUCCACUUGGCGGAUGAGCUUCAAGAAGGAGCGCUUGGACACCGGUGUGUCCCGGUACAUUGGCCAGCCCAGGAACUGGAACUGCUGUACCAUCCGAUAUCCAUCCUGAGGCUACAGAGAACCAGACAACAAGCAGGGAGAGGAAAGAAAACAGGCAAUACUCACUCUGUUGAAUUCCAGUGGGCUGAUUCCACCUACUCGAUCUUCUCACCAACACAGGUCAUUACUAAAGGAGAGUCCUGCCUACAAAUAACAAAGGUAGCUGCUACUGGCCUGCAGAGUUAGGGUUUUUAAUCUUGAGCUGUUAUUAAAAAACAGGCAUUUUUAUGUGACAGGCCAGACAAAUAAGAGUGAAGCAGAAUGCUUACCAUUUUGCAAAAUCCUAGUGAAAAAUCACACACAACAAAAGCAUCGACCAUACUGUGCAUUAAGUGGUUAAAUGGCUUUA